RNAcentral lists this long non-coding RNA (443 nucleotides) under Homo sapiens (human). RNAcentral's name for it is "non-protein coding LINC01695:6". The record is from RNAcentral. Lineage: Eukaryota; Metazoa; Chordata; Mammalia; Primates; Hominidae.
AGCUGGAGGAAGGGAGGUGCAGCUUUGGCUCAGCUCUUAACAGUGCAACAUCUAGUGCCUCUAUAGUUCUCUUGGACACAGAUGGCUGCUUUCGAAGAAGAAAGAAGUGGAAAGUGAUGGAGUUUCUAUGCUCCAGCUCUCUUUGCCUGCUGCCAUCCACGUAAGAUGUGACUUGCUCCUCUUUGCCUUCUGCCAUAAUUGUGAGCCCCCCUCAGCCAUGUGGAAUGAUGGAAAACAGAACAAGCCAUGGAGGCCCCAGGGAUCAGGCAGGGCCAAGAGGAUCUGAUGGCGGAAGGGGGAGCACAUCAACAAGACCUUACAAGGCAACUUGCAUGGAUGCUCUGAAGCAACUUUGAGGUCUCCUUGAUGAGGAAAGUUGGCUCAACCUGCUGUAGAGUAGGCCCACAGCCAAGCCAUUGAGAGACAAGUCCAUGGGAGACAAA